GUGAAUCAUCGAAUUUUUGAACGCAAAUUGCACUCCCGGGUAUUCCGGGGAGUAUGCCUGUUUGAGGGUCGGUAGAAUAAAAAAUCGAUGCGUCGCUCUUUUUUUGAAGGGUGAUCGCGUCGGAAGUGAGCUGGCUUUCAAAGGUUAAUUCAUGUCAAAGAGGCUUGAAAUUCAGCCAUCGGGUACGAUGGAAGCGGAUUUAAGAUCAAGUUUGAUUGAGAACGCGCGAUUACUUUCCAUCUCAU
Molecule: unclassified non-coding RNA, 245 nt
Filed under: Glomeraceae sp.
Lineage: Eukaryota; Fungi; Glomeromycota; Glomeromycetes; Glomerales; Glomeraceae
Description: partial contains 5.8S ribosomal RNA and internal transcribed spacer 2
Rfam family: 5.8S ribosomal RNA (bases 1-71)
Source: RNAcentral